RNAcentral lists this ribosomal RNA (520 nucleotides) under Escherichia coli. RNAcentral describes it as "bacterial SSU rRNA". It matches the Rfam family "Bacterial small subunit ribosomal RNA", at positions 199 to 714 of the family's 1533-position model. The record is from RNAcentral. Lineage: Bacteria; Pseudomonadati; Pseudomonadota; Gammaproteobacteria; Enterobacterales; Enterobacteriaceae.
ACCUUCGGGCCUCUUGCCAUCGGAUGUGCCCAGAUGGGAUUAGCUAGUAGGUGGGGUAAAGGCUCACCUAGGCGACGAUCCCUAGCUGGUCUGAGAGGAUGACCAGCCACACUGGAACUGAGACACGGUCCAGACUCCUACGGGAGGCAGCAGUGGGGAAUAUUGCACAAUGGGCGCAAGCCUGAUGCAGCCAUGCCGCGUGUAUGAAGAAGGCCUUCGGGUUGUAAAGUACUUUCAGCGGGGAGGAAGGGAGUAAAGUUAAUACCUUUGCUCAUUGACGUUACCCGCAGAAGAAGCACCGGCUAACUCCGUGCCAGCAGCCGCGGUAAUACGGAGGGUGCAAGCGUUAAUCGGAAUUACUGGGCGUAAAGCGCACGCAGGCGGUUUGUUAAGUCAGAUGUGAAAUCCCCGGGCUCAACCUGGGAACUGCAUCUGAUACUGGCAAGCUUGAGUCUCGUAGAGGGGGGUAGAAUUCCAGGUGUAGCGGUGAAAUGCGUAGAGAUCUGGAGGAAUACCGGUG